Homo sapiens (human) is the source of this 1629-nucleotide long non-coding RNA. RefSeq lists it as uncharacterized. The transcript is spliced from 2 exons. NCBI's taxonomy places the organism in Eukaryota, Metazoa, Chordata, Mammalia, Primates, Hominidae. The record is from RefSeq and is a predicted model, not a curated record.
CACACACACACACACACACACACACAUAUAUAUAAAAUAAAAUUACAGACCAAUAAAAUGUAAGUUAACAUUAAUGUGAUGAGUGAUGUUUAACUUUGGGUAAAUUGCUUUUUCCAGUUAGGCUCUGAGUUUGAUGUGUUCCAAUGACUAAGUGGUAAUUCAGUGAUCUUGUCACCUUUCUCUGUUGGAAUCACUAAAAAUUUUGACGUGUUCAGCAUUCACUGGGCCCAGAUUCUUCUCUUCUUUUUUUCAUUUGCCUGUGACAAUGAUAGCACCCCUACGUGGCAAAGCAGGGUGGCACCACAGACCAAGGGUUAGCACGGACACUGGGUGGAAACAGGAAAUUUCCUGAGGUGGUUCCAGGCAUGCUUUUAUUAAGAGCAUUGAAUAAACAUAAAAUGGGGAAAAUCUUGCCAUGAAGAACUCUUGGGUUCCCAAGAAUACACCUUUGCACGCAGUUUGAAAAAUACAGUGCGAGCUGGGCCUUAGGGUGCUAUGAGGGCAGACGGGCUGGGUGUGCUGCCACACUAGGGGAUGAGGCAGGGAAGGCUUCUGGAAUGAAAAGGGAUGAGGGACGAGAACUGUCAAACCAAGGUCUCUUUUAAACUGUGCUUAUUUAUGGCUUGCUGUUUGAUUUGGUGCUUUUUCCUUUAAUCAUUUGGUGCCAGGUUUUCCUAUCAGUCCUUUCAUGUCCUAUAUGGUUGGCCAACACCUACAAGGGGGAGGUUGGUCACCUAAGUAAUCUCAUAUUGGUGAAAAAGCCAAGGUAUCUGAAAGGGGUUUUGUAAGAAAAAUUUUAGGAUCGGACUAUACCAGGAAACAGCUUCCUGCCUAGCUAUAGGUUGUUAAUUUGUCUGAAUAUUUUCAAACCAGGAUGCUUUUGGUGUGUUGGAUAGGCUUUUGAGUAGGGAGAGAUACUAUCUUGAAUUGUGCUAAUAAUUUAACUCAACAGCAUCUAACAAAGGCAGUCUUAUUCUUGGAUCAUGUGUACAGAUCAUAGUCUGAAGUGGAAUAAGCAGAAUGUUGUUCUCAGUGUGAGAUGUUAUUUAGAACACACUGGAAACAUUGUGAUGUCAUUGUGCACUGAGGCAGGGAAAUGUUAGUCUACAUUUUAUGGAAUAUGUACUUCAGUGUUUGCAUUGUACCUGGAGUGAUAAAAAGCAAAACAGGUGAGAACACCUUAUAUGAAGAAUGCCUGUGACUUUGGUACAUCGGAAUCUGAUACCCUUGAAAGGGGUCUAGGAGACACCUGUUUCUGAGUAGAUUCCAUUGCAUACAAUUCAUAGACUCUCAGAGUUGGAAGAGACAAUAUGAGUCGUCUGGUUCACCAGGUGUUUGGUUACAUUUUUGGUUAGAUCCCAUAUGAAUCCUUAAAGGUUGUGGAGUGAGUUUGACGAACAAUCCUUAUUAUUUUGCAUGACCCUUCAUGGCCUAAAAAUAAUUCUGUGUUUUACCAAACUAAGUAAAAUGUUGACUAUACAAAAGAAAAAGGUUUUUUUCCCUUGGGUCAUUUGGGUUUUGAGAUGUUCUAUUUGAAACAUUUUCCUUACAAUUUGUUACCUGUUAAGAAAAUUGCUUAUUUAAAUAUCUGUUGAAUGCUACUUAAUAAAUGUAACUUUCAAAAUGUGA